Molecule: transfer RNA, 71 nt
Filed under: Premocyathus sp. IS-2022
Lineage: Eukaryota; Metazoa; Cnidaria; Anthozoa; Scleractinia; Caryophylliidae
Description: tRNA-Met
Rfam family: tRNA
About the family: Transfer RNA (tRNA) molecules are approximately 80 nucleotides in length. Their secondary structure includes four short double-helical elements and three loops (D, anti-codon, and T loops). Further hydrogen bonds mediate the characteristic L-shaped molecular structure. tRNAs have two regions of fundamental functional importance: the anti-codon, which is responsible for specific mRNA codon recognition, and the 3' end, to which the tRNAs corresponding amino acid is attached (by aminoacyl-tRNA synthetases). tRNAs cope with the degeneracy of the genetic code in two manners: having more than one tRNA (with a specific anti-codon) for a particular amino acid; and 'wobble' base-pairing, i.e. permitting non-standard base-pairing at the 3rd anti-codon position.
Source: RNAcentral
UGUAAGAAAGACCAAGGGUAGGUCGUCGGGCUCAUGCCCCGAAGAAGUGAGUUCAAGUCUCACUCUUACAA